CAUGUAGGGGUGCAGGGAUGGAGAGGGGAGUCACGGGAUAGUCUGGAAGGAUUUUUAAGGGAAGGAGGAGUUGUCAGGGGGCCAAGGACUGGAUCCUGAGAGAUCUAACCCAGCUGGUGGUGGGGAGUAGUAGAGCUUGGUCUGCACAAGUUGGUGCCCACAGCCCCUCCUGGCAGCACCAACUAUCCUCAGACUCUGAGGAAGGCUUCCCCAUCUCUCAGGUAGGUGGGCAGCAGGUGGGCUGAAUGAGAACUCCUGAGGCCCCUGCCCAGGGCCUCAGGCAUGGAGAGGGCAGGUGCCCUAGAGGGCCAAGGGACAGGGCAAGUUAAAGGCAGGUGGUGGAGUGACCUCACAUGAUGAUCCCCCAGCCACACCUUAGGCAUAGGAAGGUGCUGUGAUUCUGGGUGCUCAGGUUCCGGCACUGACCGGGGAGACCUGGUUGAUAUGUGGAUAUGAUUUGGCCACUGUCCACCAGGGGCCUCUGGGGCACCACAGCUCAGCUGAGCAACAUUGCAGGCUGGCUCUGGCUGACUCAAACACAUUCCAUUGCCACUGGGCUCCUUCCCUGCUCCUCUGGGCACCCCCACAUCCAGUGGCCAGAACGAUCCUCUUCCCCCUGCCCCAAAUGAGCCCUCAGGCAGCCCUUAGCACAAGGAAGUCUCCACCUGCCCACCCCCCCUCCUCAAGUGUACCUUCAAACGUAGUGUCACCUACAGUUCUCAAGCCUUGCAUACUCACACAUAUACACCCAUACAACACACAUCACACUCAGACACCACACAGUGCAUGUACUACACACAACACACACACACACACACACUAAGCACCUGUCAUAAACAACAUACCACAAAGUGUAUACCCCCAGACCCUAUGCAGAACCAAUACAAGACAACUGCAUACACAUGCAUACGUGCACACAUGCACACACACACAGGAAACUUGCCCACAUUUUCAUUUUGAGCAAGAACAAAAACAUUGAGAGGUGAAAAGGGACUCUGAUCUGAGAGAAUUGGCCUCCCUCCCCACAUCUUUUCCAGUGGACCUUGGGAAGAAUCAGCAUUUGGGAAGUUGAUCCUGGUCCUUGUGCUGAUCUCAGCCCAGUCAGCUUCCUGUCCCUUGUUUUGUGGGCUGACCAAGCCAGGGGCCCCCCAUCCUAUACCCCACACUUAGGGUGGAGCUGGCCUCCCUAAGCCUCCACCCUUCUUGCCAUCUGCAUGUGCCAAAUUCCUUGCAGGUCCUGCAGUGCAGGGUCACUGGGGAACAUCUCUGCUGAGUGGGCCCUGCCUCUCUGGGGCUCUGGAGUUAGGGGGUGUGGCUCCCUCACAGCCUCUCUUCAUAAGCAGUGAAUCAAGCCUCUGUCAUGGGGUGAGUCACUGGAUCCCCCCAAGAACCCAGGAGGCCAGGCCAGCAGUGUGCCCAUUUUACAAAUGAGGACACGAGGCCCAGAGCACACAGCAGCAGGCCGAAGCUCUGGCUCCUGUCAGUGGGCUGCACCCGUGUUCUCCAUUCCAGCACAAACCACCCUGUCUGCCUCCCUGAGCCAUUCUCUUGGAGCCUCCGGAGGGCACCAGGUGGAUACCUGGCCCAGGCUGGUCCUGCCCAACAGCGGGUGAGGGUGAGCUUGGCUCUCAGCCUGAAGGACAGUCAGUUCCAGAAGCUUAUGGGGUUGAUCCAGCCACUUAACCACCUUGUGCCUCAGUUUCCUCUUCUACCAGCUGGAGAUAAUGGUAACUCUUUCCUUACAGAUUGCAGUGACAUUAAAAAGUUGAUCCAUGUAUGUUAAUCCUGGCUGUUACGAUUACUCCUCACCGUUGACUCCUCCUCCAGACUGGAAGUCUUCCUUCCCUGACACUGGCCUCCUCUAGUGCCCAUGAUCCCAGCUGUAGCCCUAACCCAGACCCCACACUGUUCGAGGCUGUCACUCAUGAU
RNAcentral lists this long non-coding RNA (1929 nucleotides) under Marmota monax (woodchuck). The record is from RNAcentral. Lineage: Eukaryota; Metazoa; Chordata; Mammalia; Rodentia; Sciuridae.